This 58-nucleotide transfer RNA is filed under the name Cricetulus griseus (Chinese hamster). It matches the Rfam family "tRNA", at positions 9 to 63 of the family's 71-position model. From Rfam's summary of the family: Transfer RNA (tRNA) molecules are approximately 80 nucleotides in length. The record is from Rfam by way of RNAcentral. Lineage: Eukaryota; Metazoa; Chordata; Mammalia; Rodentia; Cricetidae.
GGCUUAGUGGUUAAGAGCACUGGGCUCCUCAUCCAGAGGACCAGGGUUCAAUUCCCAG